This 496-nucleotide ribosomal RNA is filed under the name uncultured bacterium. Its description in RNAcentral is "partial 16S ribosomal RNA". It matches the Rfam family "Bacterial small subunit ribosomal RNA", at positions 28 to 507 of the family's 1533-position model. The record is from RNAcentral.
GAUGAACGCUGGCGGCGUGCCUAAUACAUGCAAGUCGAGCGAACAGACGAGGAGCUUGCUCCUCUGACGUUAGCGGCGGACGGGUGAGUAACACGUGGAUAACCUACCUAUAAGACUGGAUAACUUCGGGAAACCGGAGCUAAUACCGGAUAAUAUAUUGAACCGCAUGGUUCAAUAGUGAAAGACGGUUUUGCUGUCACUUAUAGAUGGAUCCGCGCCGCAUUAGCUAGUUGGUAAGGUAACGGCUUACCAAGGCAACGAUGCGUAGCCGACCUGAGAGGGUGAUCGGCCACACUGGAACUGAGACACGGUCCAGACUCCUACGGGAGGCAGUAGUAGGGAAUCUUCCGCAAUGGGCGAAAGCCUGACGGAGCAACGCCGCGUGAGUGAUGAAGGUCUUCGGAUCGUAAAACUCUGUUAUUAGGGAAGAACAAAUGUGUAAGUAACUAUGCACGUCUUGACGGUACCUAAUCAGAAAGCCACGGCUAACUACGUG